Long non-coding RNA from Mus musculus (house mouse), 429 nucleotides. RefSeq annotates it as predicted gene, 39082. NCBI's taxonomy places the organism in Eukaryota, Metazoa, Chordata, Mammalia, Rodentia, Muridae. The record is from RefSeq and is a predicted model, not a curated record. The transcript has 4 exons.
UCUGUCCUCCCAGGUCCUGAAAGGAGGUGGAGGCAGGAGGAUCAAAAAUGAAAGGUCAUCAAAGGCGCUCUCGUUGCGUUCUGCUGCUAUGCGCUGAGGAAGGGAUUAUUUCAGCUGACUGAGACUUGAACAGGAACUGAAGCAGACACCACGAAGGAAUACUGCUUCCUGGCUCAUUCUCAGCCUGGUUUCCCAUGCAGCCACCCACCCUCAGAUUACAUUGCCUGCAUCAAUCACCAGUCAAGACUACCUCUCACAGCCACUACCUCUCACAGCCAUGGCCAUAGGCCAUCUGAUCAAGCCUGUCCUGGAACUUGAGCUAAGGAUGAUGGUCUUGAACUCCUGACCUGUGGGAAGCACAGAGAUUCUUUGAGCUCACAGGCAAGCACUAGAGAAACCUGGAGUGAUCUGGAUAUGGAACUCUCUGCU